GUAACUCCUGCUGCUGUGCUUUUCUUUGAUGUACAACUACAUUUUUGGUUUGCGGUAGCCUUUUGACGACUCUGCAACUCCUUCCGCCUUCACUAUGGACGCGUCACUCUCCAGCUUGCGUUCAUCCUGAUGGAAUUAACAGGCUGUCCCUCAGUUCCUGCAGCUGUCGGCCUUGGUCGGCAACGAGCGUUUUAAGAGAGUCCACCUUUGCCUUCAAACCAGCCAAGUCUCCUGGUGUCCUGCUGUAAACUGGAUAUGUGCUCGAUGGUGAAGUUUUCUAGGGACUUGAGUUUGUCUUGAACCGAUUCCUCCGAGGACAGGUCCAGCUCUUCGUCAGAGUCCAUCUUGUCAUGGAAAAAACGCAACACAGACCGUUUUAAUUGAGAGAAGUUUUGAUGCCGUUUCUGACCAGAGAGACAAGCAAGAAAGAGAGCAUAGCCAAGCUAUCUAGCAUAGCCAUAGCCAAUCUGAUACAGCUGAUGCAAAUAAUCAAAGUGUCACACAUUUUCAAUUAUUUGGAUCAGCAGUGUUUUAAUUGAGGUUGGAGGAAAAGUCUAAUUGACUUGAGUCAUAAUAAAAUAAUAAUAAUAAUAAUAAUAUUUUUUUUUACUUGCAUGGGCUUGUGGCCUUUCAUUCAGCUGCUCCCUGGUACUUGUGUAUUUGUGGGCCAAAAUAGCUGCAGGAGGUCGUCCAGGCCUUCUUCACUCUCUCUCUCUCUUUUGGCAUCUGGCAUAGACAAAGCAGGUGCCUGCGAGGCCAUGUCGUCACUGUCGUUGUCGCUGUCAUCGUUGGCGCUUUCAUCGUCGGUGCUGUCGUUGGGUCUGUCCUUGUCGGUUGCCUCUGUCGCUAGCUUGCCCUUAAGUUCCUCCAUUUGCCUGCCCUGGUCUGGGAUGGUGGAUUUGAGGGCAGACAGCUCACUCUGCACAGCGGGUAGAUCUCUUUCUGUCAAGGUCUCCGUUGCUUCUCUGAAGGUUCUAUGCGAUUUCCCGUAACUCGUCUACUUGGCACACUAAAAAUGUUUCAAUUCGAUUCAUGCUGAUGUUGAACUCUUGCGUGGCAACAAGGUCAAGGUCACUUCCACUUGAGCAGCUCAUCUUGUUUGGGGUCAUGCGAAACACAGAAGAGGUGAGAAUUAAGUUGUUGCAUUAAAAAAACAUACGUGUGUGUGUGUGUGUGUGUGAGAGAGGGAGAGAAUGGCAUGCAUUUAUACUUGUGCUACGUCCUGUUUUUUUUUUUUUUUUUUUUUUUUGGUUUCCUAAUUUCUUUUGUUUGCAGAUUGCUGCCACCUGAUUCCAAUCUGCGCAGCUAAUUGUUCUGAGCUGUAUAGACAUCAUGGCCUUGUGGCUUUAUCUGAGUUAUUGGACUUUGUUUUUUUUUUUUUUUGUUUUGUUUUUUUGUUUGGACCCCCACAUGCUGAUUUAUUAUUUUUGUUUUCCAUUAUGUUCUUUAAAGUUUAAGAUGCAUAUUUUCUUCUGAUAAAUAAACCAAUGCUCGCCUCCAUGGCGAUCGGAAAGAUGA
This is a non-coding RNA of Danio rerio (zebrafish), 1518 nucleotides long. The record is from RefSeq and is a predicted model, not a curated record. Lineage: Eukaryota; Metazoa; Chordata; Actinopteri; Cypriniformes; Danionidae.